UGAGCCACCUUUGCAGAUCAUUAAGGGUUCGCCUGCUAAGUGAUUUGUCCCUGAACCUGAACAUCUGAUUUUCCAUGUGCUAAUUGUCAGAAUACAAGAUUCACCCCUGAUGAAGUCUUGGAGAAAAGACGAAACGCGUUGGAUUGUUUCCUUAUGAAGCUUUUUUUGAAUCAGUAACAAAGAAAAAGCGGUUAUCAUUGAAUAUCAUCUGCAAAAUUGUUACUAUGGUCAUUUGAUCUGGAAAAAGGGUGAAGUGAUUUAUCACACCUUCUCUGUAUGAAUAUUGAUUGUAUGUUUUUAUGAUAAUAAAAAG
Long non-coding RNA from Pseudophryne corroboree (corroboree frog), 313 nucleotides. RefSeq lists it as uncharacterized. The transcript is spliced from 3 exons. NCBI's taxonomy places the organism in Eukaryota, Metazoa, Chordata, Amphibia, Anura, Myobatrachidae. The record is from RefSeq and is a predicted model, not a curated record.